This 301-nucleotide ribosomal RNA is filed under the name uncultured bacterium. Its description in RNAcentral is "partial 16S ribosomal RNA". It matches the Rfam family "Bacterial small subunit ribosomal RNA", at positions 509 to 809 of the family's 1533-position model. The record is from RNAcentral.
CAGUAGCCGCGGUAAUACAGAGGGUGCAAGCGUUAAUCGGAAUUACUGGGCGUAAAGCGCGCGUAGGUGGUUUGUUAAGUUGGAUGUGAAAGCCCCGGGCUCAACCUGGGAACUGCAUCCAAAACUGGCAAGCUAGAGUACGGUAGAGGGUGGUGGAAUUUCCUGUGUAGCGGUGAAAUGCGUAGAUAUAGGAAGGAACACCAGUGGCGAAGGCGACCACCUGGACUGAUACUGACACUGAGGUGCGAAAGCGUGGGGAGCAAACAGGAUUAGAUACCCCUGUAGUCCCUGUCUCUUAUAA